UAAGGAAUAUUGGUCAAUGGACGCAAGUCUGAACCAGCCAUGCCGCGUGCAGGAUGACGGCCCUAUGGGUUGUAAACUGCUUUUGUACGGGAAAAAACCUUCGGACGUGUCCGGAGCUGAUGGUACCGUAAGAAUAAGGAUCGGCUAACUCCGUGCCAGCAGCCGCGGUAAUACGGAGGAUCCAAGCGUUAUCCGGAUUCAUUGGGUUUAAAGGGUGCGCAGGCGGGUGAAUAAGUCAGAGGUGAAAUCCUACAGCUCAACUGUAGAACUGCCUUUGAUACUGUUCGCCUAGAGUAUAGUUGAAGUGGGCGGAAUGUAGCAUGUAGCGGUGAAAUGCUUAGAUAUGCUACAGAACACCGAUCGCGAAGGCAGCUCACUAAGCUGAAACUGACGCUCAUGC
Molecule: ribosomal RNA, 400 nt
Filed under: uncultured bacterium
Lineage: Bacteria
Description: bacterial SSU rRNA
Rfam family: Bacterial small subunit ribosomal RNA
Source: RNAcentral